AUACGUAGGUGACAAGCGUUAUCCGGAUUUACUGGGCGUAAAGGGCGUGUAGGCGGUCUUGCAAGUCAGAAGUGAAAUUCCUGAGCUCAACUCGGGCGCUGCUUCUGAAACUGCAGGACUUGAGUGCUGGAGGGGAUAGCGGAAUUCCUAGUGGAGCGGUAAAAUGCGCAGAUAUUAGGAAGAACACCGGUGGCGAAGGCGGCUAUCUGGACAUAAACUGGCGCUGGGGCGCGAAAGCGUGGGGGGCAAACAGGAUUAGAUACCCUGGUGGCACACGCCGUAAACGAUGAAUACUAGGUGUAGGGGGUAUCGACUCCCUCUGUGCCGCAGUUAACACAAUAAGUAUUCCGCCUGGGGAGUACGGCCGCAAGGUUGAAACUCAAAUGAAUUGACGGGU
This 397-nucleotide ribosomal RNA is filed under the name uncultured bacterium. RNAcentral describes it as "partial 16S ribosomal RNA". It matches the Rfam family "Bacterial small subunit ribosomal RNA", at positions 523 to 918 of the family's 1533-position model. The record is from RNAcentral.